UGAGAUAUCUUGUUUUUCAUGUGAAUUAAUUAUUUAUCUUGUCGAUAAGUUCAUUUAUUUGUUGCCUUUUAAACACCAAUUGAGGUUAUUCUAUGAAAUCAUUUCCAAAAAAGAUACCUUCAAGUGAAAAUAGCAGAGUUUUGGUAAGUUUUCUUGACAAGUAGGGAGACUGCUUUUUGUCCUAAGAGUCAUAUGUAGCACUAUACUCGUAUGGGAUUUGAUAUCAAUUAGCACAACUAGUUCUAAAGGUAUAUCCAUUUUGCGAGACUUACCAAGGAGGAAUUAAUACGCAGAUAUUGGAUCAUGUUCAGCAGUAAGGUGAAUGUUAGAUUUUUCAUGUCUUCGAAAAUGUUUCCCGAGAAAUACAGAAGAUGCUUGAGAUAUUUUCUUCAGUGUUUAGUUUUGAUUAAACAUUGUUACAUUAAGGUGGUGUUAUGUGAGCCCUUCCCCGUUAUACAUCUUUACUUCUAUUUUACAAAAUUUUCACCAUCCUCUCCAUCGAGCAUGCAUAGAAGGUGUUGGUCUAAAUGAUUUACCAAUAACCUUUCUCUAACUAGGGAUGUCUAGGAUUAGGACUUUCGAUAAAUCGAGGUCUGCUUGGCAUGAUCCACUCAUGAUCCUCAAAUCCGUUUCUCUGCCUCAAAGAUUUCAUCAUUUUCUUCAAGUGUAUAUACAAAACAAAACUAGAUGGUGAAACAUGCAUUUAUUAAUAUCAGAACUAAUUUACUUAAAAGGAGACAAUCAUAAACUGUGAAUGGAAUUGUUAACAAAAUACCCCAAUCGACUAUUUCCUCAUGUUAUUAGCUUGAUGCUAACAGGUACACUACAGAGCUAUUAGAUUUUUCAUGUCAUAGGUAACAAUGAUUCCUAGGGAAUAGGGGAUGCUCGAUGUGAUUUUUCAAUAUAAAGUUUUGAUAGUAACAUUGUUGUGUCAUAGUGUUAAGGUCUCGUGUAUGAGACAUUCUUGUUUUACAUCUUUAUUUCCAUUUUACAAGACUUACUACAACAAGUUACUGAUACAGAGAUAUCUAUCUUGUCUAGAAGUAAAAGCGAAUGUUAGAUUUUUCAUGUCAGGGGAAAUG
RNAcentral lists this long non-coding RNA (1082 nucleotides) under Nicotiana tabacum (common tobacco). Its description in RNAcentral is "long non-coding RNA (NTAB_LNC009390)". The record is from RNAcentral. Lineage: Eukaryota; Viridiplantae; Streptophyta; Magnoliopsida; Solanales; Solanaceae.